AUUCCAGCUCCAAUAGCGUAUAUUAAUGUUGUUGCAGUUAAAAAGCUCGUAGUUGGAUUUCUGGUCGGGACGUCUGGCCGGCUCCGCAAGGGGUCGUUGCAUUGACUGUACUCGUCCAUCCUCAGGUUGACUAGCUCUGGUAUUUAUUUAUCGGUGUAGAACGCCUGUCGUUUACUGUGAACAAAUUAGAGUGUUCAAAGCAAGGUGUACUUGAAUACAUUAGCAUGGAAUAAUAAGAUAGGACUUUGGUGGUUCUUUUUGAUAUUUUGUUGGUUUGCACGCCAAAGUAAUGAUUAAUAGGAGCAGUUGGGGGUAUUCGUAUUCAAUUGUCAGAGGUGAAAUUCUUGGAUUUAUAGAAGACGAACUACUGCGAAAGCAUUUACCAAGGAUGUUUUCAUUA
RNAcentral lists this ribosomal RNA (400 nucleotides) under Pedinellales sp. Its description in RNAcentral is "partial small subunit ribosomal RNA". It matches the Rfam family "Eukaryotic small subunit ribosomal RNA", at positions 582 to 975 of the family's 1831-position model. The record is from RNAcentral. Lineage: Eukaryota; Dictyochophyceae; Pedinellales.